Molecule: ribosomal RNA, 490 nt
Filed under: uncultured bacterium
Lineage: Bacteria
Description: partial 16S ribosomal RNA
Rfam family: Bacterial small subunit ribosomal RNA
Source: RNAcentral
GAUGAACGCUAGCUACAGGCUUAACACAUGCAAGUCGAGGGGCAGCAUGGUCUUAGCUUGCUAAGGCCGAUGGCGACCGGCGCACGGGUGAGUAACACGUAUCCAACCUGCCGUCUACUCUUGGACAGCCUUCUGAAAGGAAGAUUAAUACAAGAUGGCAUCAUGGGUCCGCAUGUUCACAUGAUUAAAGGUAUUCCGGUAGACGAUGGGGAUGCGUUCCAUUAGAUAGUAGGCGGGGUAACGGCCCACCUAGUCUUCGAUGGAUAGGGGUUCUGAGAGGAAGGUCCCCCACAUUGGAACUGAGACACGGUCCAAACUCCUACGGGAGGCAGCAGUGAGGAAUAGUGGUCAAUGGGCGAGAGCCUGAACCAGCCAAGUAGCGUGAAGGAUGACUGCCCUAUGGGUUGUAAACUUCUUUUAUAAAGGAAUAAAGUCGGGUAUGGAUACCCGUUUGCAUGUACUUUAUGAAUAAGGAUCGGCUAACUCCGUG